RNAcentral lists this ribosomal RNA (442 nucleotides) under uncultured bacterium. RNAcentral describes it as "partial 16S ribosomal RNA". It matches the Rfam family "Bacterial small subunit ribosomal RNA", at positions 28 to 507 of the family's 1533-position model. The record is from RNAcentral.
GAUGAACGCUGGCGGCAUGCCUAACACAUGCAAGUCGAUCGGUAAGGCUCUUCGGAGUACACGAGAGGCGGACGGCUGAGUAACGCGUAGGAACACACCCUGCAGUGAGGGAUAAGACACCGAAAGGUGUUCUAAUACCGCAUACGGUCUUCGGAUUAAAGCAUUUAUGCGCUGAAGGAGUGGCCUGCGUCAUAUUAGAUAGUUGGUGAGGUAAUGGCUCACAAGUCGAUGAUGUGUAGCUGGUCUGAGAGGAUGAUCAGCCAGACUGGAACUGAGACACGGUCCAGACUCCUACGGGAGGCAGCAGUGAGGAAUAUUUCACAAUGAGCGAAAGCUUGAUGGAGCAAUGCCGCGUGCAGGAUGAAGGCCCUCGGGUUGUAAACUGCUUUUAUAAGAGAAGAUUAUGACGGUAACUUAUGAAUAAGGGACGGCUAACUACGUG